RNAcentral lists this ribosomal RNA (497 nucleotides) under uncultured bacterium. RNAcentral's name for it is "partial 16S ribosomal RNA". It matches the Rfam family "Bacterial small subunit ribosomal RNA", at positions 28 to 507 of the family's 1533-position model. The record is from RNAcentral.
GAUGAACGCUGGCGGCGUGCCUAAUACAUGCAAGUCGAGCGAACAGACGAUGAGCUUGCUCCUCUGACGUUAGCGGCGGACGUGUGAGUAACACGUGUAUAACCUACCUAUAAUACUGGGAUAACUUCGGGAAACCGGAGCUAAUACCGGAUAAUAUAUUGAACCGCAUGGUUCAAUAGUGAAAGACGGUUUUGCUGUCACUUAUAGAUGGAUCCCCGCCGCAUUAGCGAGUUGGUAAGUUAACGGCUUACCAAGGCGACCAUGCGUAGCCGACCUGAGAGGGUGAUCGGCCACACUGGAGCUGAGACACGGUCAAGACUACUACGGGAGGCAGCAGUAGGGAAUCUUCCGCAAUGGGCGAAAGCAUGACGGAGCAACGCCGAGUGAGUGAUGAAGGUCUUCGGAUCGUAAAACUCUGUUAUUAGGGAAGAACAAAUGUGUAAGUAAAUAUGCACGUAUUGACGGUACCUAAUCAGAAAGCCACGGCUAACUACGUG